This 430-nucleotide long non-coding RNA is filed under the name Panax ginseng (ginseng). RNAcentral's name for it is "long non-coding RNA (PGIN_LNC005847)". The record is from RNAcentral. Lineage: Eukaryota; Viridiplantae; Streptophyta; Magnoliopsida; Apiales; Araliaceae.
UUUAAUUAUGUAAAUCAAUAAUCACAUUACAAUUCGAAACAAUAUAUAACAUGGGAUGGACAGAAAAUUAGUACUCAUAAUAUAUGUUGUUUUGUUUAGUGAAUAGCUAACUAUAAAUUUAGAAGAACAACACUCCACGGAUCAAACAACCAUAAAAAUUACAACUAGAAGAAUCCAAUGGUUCACCCAUCGCUACUGUUAUAAAUCUUUACGACAGAAAGUGUAGAUAACAAAUUUACAUGGCUCACAUUCAAGAACUGGUGUCCGAAUGUCAAUAUUCCGAGUACCACAUCUGCCACACGAGACAUUCUUCAUUUUAUUUUGAACAAAUGUGAGGUGGUGUUGGUGCAAAUUGUCAACUUCAAUGGUAGCCCCAAACUUGACAUUUGAGUAAACAUCAUCACGAAGGAGACAUCUAACAUGAAAGGAC